GGGUUAGGGUUAGGGUUAGGGUUGGAGCAAGGGUUAGGGUUAGGGUUGGAGUUAGGGUUAGUGUUGGAGCUAGGGUUAGGGUUGGGCUUGGAGCUAGGAUUUUUCUGAGUGCAAUGAACCAACUCCCGAGUCUCUAGGACGUUCCUAAAAAAAUUUGAUUUUUUCCCAUAGGAAUGCAUGGGUUAGGGUUAGGGUUAGGGUUGGAGCUAGGGUUAGGGUUAGGGUUGGAGUUAGGGUUAAUGUUGGAGCUAGGGUUAGGGUUGGGCUUGGAGCUAGGAUUUUUCAGAGUGCAAUGAACCAACUCCCGAGUCUCUAGGCUGUUCCUAAAAAAAUUUGAUUUUUUUCCGUAGGAAUGCAUGGGUUAGGGUUAGUGUUAGGGUUAGGGUUAGGGUUAGGGUUGGAGUUAGGGUUAGUGUUGGAGCUAGGGUUAGGGUUGGAGCUAGGGUUAGGGUUGGGCUUGGAGCUAGGAUUUUUCUGAGUGCAAUGAACCAACUAUCGAGUCUCUAGGAAGUUCCUAAAAAAAUUUGAUUUUUUCCCAUAGGAAUGCAUGGGUUAGGGUUAGGGUUAGGGUUGGAGCUAGGGUUAGGGUUAGGGUUAGGGUUGGAGUUAGGGUUAGUGUUGGAGCUAGGGUUAGGGUUGGGCUUGGAGCUAGGAUUUUUCUGAGUGCAAUGAACCAACUCCCGAGUCUCUAGGACGUUCCUAAAAAAAUUUGAUUUUUUUCCAUAGGAAUGCAUGGGUUAGGGUUAGGGUUAGGGUUGGAGCUAGGGUUAGGGUUAGGGUUGGAGUUAGGGUUAGUGUUGGAGCUAGGGUUAGGGUUGGGCUUGGAGCUAGGAUUUUUCUGAGUGCAAUGAACCAACUCCCGAGUCUCUAGGACGUUCCUAAAAAAAUUUGAUUUUUUCCCAUAGGAAUGCAUGGGUUAGGGUUAGGGUUAGGGUUGGAGCUAGGGUUAGGGUUAGGGUUAGGGUUGGAGUUUGGGUUAGUGUUGGAGCUAGGGUUAGGUUUGGGCUUGGAGCUAGGAUUUUUCUGAGUGCAAUGAACCAACUCCCGAGUCUCUAGGACGUUCCUAAAAAAAUUUGAUUUUUUCCCAUAGGAAUGCAUGGGUUAGGGUUAGGGUUAGGGUUGGAGCUAGGGUUAGGGUUAGGGUUAGGGUUGGAGUUAGGGUUAGUGUUGGAGCUAGGGUUAGGGUUGGGCUUGGAGCUAGGAUUUUUCUGAGUGCAAUGAACCAACUCCCGAGUCUCUAGGACGUUCCUAAAAAAAUUUGAUUUUUUCCCAUAGGAAUGCAUGGGUUAGGGUUAGGGUUAGGGUUGGAGCUAGGGUUAGGGUUAGGGUUAGGGUUGGAGUUAGGGUUAGUGUUGGAGCUAGGGUUAGGGUUGGGCUUGGAGCUAGGAUUUUUCAGAGUGCAAUGAACCAACUCCCGAGUCUCUAGGACGUUCCUAAAAAAAUUUGAUUUUUGUCCAUAGGAAUGCAUGGGUUAGGGUUAGGGUUUGGGUUGGAGCAAGGGUUAGGGUUAGGGUUGGAGUUAGGGUUAGUGUUGGAGCUAGGGUUAGGGUUGGGCUUGGAGCUAGGAUUUUUCUGAGUGCAAUGAACCAACUCCCGAGUCUCUAGGACGUUCCUAAAAAAAUUUGAUUUUUUUCCAUAGGAAUGCAUGGGUUAGGGUUAGGGUUAGGGUUGGAGCUAGGGUUAGGGUUAGGGUUAGGGUUAGGGUUGGAGUUAGGGUUAAUGUUGGAGCUAGGGUUAGGGUUGGGCUUGGAGCUAGGAUUUUUCAGAGUGCAAUGAACCAACUCCCGAGUCUCUAGGCUGUUCCUAAAAAAAUUUGAUUUUUUUCCGUAGGAAUGCAUGGGUUAGGGUUAGGGUUAGGGUUAGGGUUAGGGUUAGGGUUGGAGUUAGGGUUAGUGUUGGAGCUAGGGUUAGGGUUGGGCUUGGAGCUAGGAUUUUUCUGAGUGCAAUGAACCAACUCCCGAGUCUCUAGGACGUUUCUAAAAAAAUUUGAUUUUUUUCCAUAGGAAUGCAUGGGUUAGGGUUAGGGUUAGGGUUGGAGCUAGGGUUAGGGUUAGGGUUAGGGUUGGAGUUAGGGUUAGUGUUGGAGUUAGGGUUAGGGUUGGGCUUGGAGCUAGGAUUUUUCUGAGUGCAAUGAACUAACUCCCGAGUCUCUGGGACGUUCCUAAAAAAAUUUGAUUUUUUCCCAUAGGAAUGCAUGGGUUAGGGUUAGGGUUAGGGUUGGAGCUAGGGUUAGGGUUAGGGUUAGGGUUGGAGUUAGGGUUAGUGUUGGAGCUAGGGUUAGGGUUGGGCUUGGAGCUAGGAUUUUUCUGAGUGCAAUGAACCAACUCCCGAGUCUCUAGGACGUUCCUAAAAAAAUUUGAUUUUUUUCCAUAGGAAUGCAUGGGUUAGGGUUAGGGUUAGGGUUGGAGCUAGGGUUAGGGUUAGGGUUAGGGUUGGAGUUUGGGUUAGUGUUGGAGCUAGGGUUAGGGUUGGGCUUGGAGCUAGGAUUUUUCUGAGUGCAAUGAACCAACUCCCGAGUCUCUAGGACGUUCCUAAAAAAGUUUGAUUUUUUUCCAUAGGAAUGCAUGGGUUAGGGUUAGGGUUAGGGAUGGAGCUAGGGUUAGGGUUAGGGUUAGGGUUGGAGUUAGGGUUAGUGUUGGAGCUAGGGUUAGGGUUGGGCUUGGAGCUAGGAUUUUUCUGAGUGCAAUGAACCAACUCCCGAGUCUCUAGGACGUUCCUAAAAAAAAUUGAUUUUUUCCCAUAGGAAUGCAUGGGUUAGGGUUAGGGUUAGGGUUGGAGCUAGGGUUAGGGUUAGGGUUGGAGUUAGGGUUAGUGUUGGAGCUAGGGUUAGGGUUGGGCUUGGAGCUAGGAUUUUUCUGAGUGCAAUGAACCAACUCCCGAGUCUCUAGGACGUUCCUAAAAAAAUUUGAUUUUUUCCCAUAGGAAUGCAUGGGUUAGGGUUAGGGUUAGGGUUGGAGCUAGGGUUAGGGUUAGGGUUAGGGUUAGGGUUGGGGCUAGGGUUAGGGUUAGGGUUAAUGAUCAUGUGAAAUUUCAGUACCGGCACACUAAAUCUAGCAGCGGCGGUGCGCCACUGCUGAAUGAAUGUAGGGGAAACACUGCUGAUACCUAUGAGUCCGAGGUAGAGCUACGUGAGAUAAAAACGUAUUUUUUUUUUUUUUUAGGUGUGGUGGCUUUUAUUUAGCUGUGGUGGUGCGCCACGAUCAAUUGCAUGUAGGGGAAACCCUGGGCGUCCAUUCUAUACAGUCUAUGGCUAAUACUGAAAUAUAAUAUGCAGACACUGUGAUCCGGAGUCACACAGAGUGACACCUGUCUCAUAUUAAUGAGUCCACUGCAGGUCUAGAGUGUUUUGUUCGAAUCUUGCUUUGUAUUUUAUACAACACCACUCUAUUUGUGUUUACCCAUCAUAACACACUAUAUUGAGGGUGUGGGUGGCCUGCUGGGGUGUAAAUCAAUGCCUGUGCUUCCUCGGGCUCUCUGAACAGGUGACAGUUCUAGACCUUGUCCUACAACUCACAACACACCCCCUUUAAAUACAUUGAGAGGACGACAGUAGGUGUAACCUCGUACCUUUGCUGGCAGAUAAUCAAAACUUGUUGCAUAUAAUUAAAGCACUGAAAAAAGGAGGGUUUUCAAGGUUAAGAUAUUCAAUCAUCCUCUCGCUUGCAGUAAUGAUAUGAAAGCCAUAACGGACCAAAAAAGGUCAUUUAAUUAUCCUUGUUAGCAAAAACAAACCAGAGGGUGUGAAGAAUUGCUUCCAUUGUGUGUCAAACCAACUAUAUCAAAAGUUAUGGCGAAGAUUUUCUGUACAUGCAGGAAGACGGAUGUACUGAAUCACCAUGAAACCCACGAGACAAUAGGCUCUGAAUCCUCAUUUCGCCCCAAUCACUCUGUGCUGCAAGUGACAGUUCUGCUUUGUAACAGAAAUGUAUGUUCUUGUUUAUCCUCCAUCUGUGGCAGCAUCUGUUUCAUAUUGUGCUCCCUCUCUGUUUGCCAGCGACUGGCAACAACACAUUUCAAAUGUUAUUUUUAUCUGAACACACAGAGAGGAUGAGGGAGGCAGACGUUUCUUUAUGCGAGGAUUGCACUGCUGUCUGGAACGGUUUAAGGUGACAAAUAUUGAAUCUAUCUAAUAAGAGGGGAGGAAGAAUGACCGUUGAAGUUUGAACCCAAGAAAUUAAUGAUACCCCUCUUGCUCUUAUUAAUGUAUUCUUCUACAAAGAAAAGAUCAGUAGGACUGUCAUCAGUCAGCGUCGUGCAGAAAUCACUUGUGCUAAAAGCCAGGGUCACUGUGAACCUUAUGUCUCCCACGUUCCAUCUUCCACAAGGUCAGGAUCCUGUCAAGUUUAAUGACCCCGGCCAAGAGUCAAGAUUACGGUCACAGGACACCGUGUGUUUUAGACAGACCUCCAUCUGUAAACUGGACACGAGGGUCACGGACGUCACACUUUUGAUUUGAUUUCAUAGCAACACUGUGCUUGACUAUGUACAGCUUAUAUACAACCAUAUGCCUUUGAUUGCAGUGUGGUGAGCUGCGCAGUCAUAAAUUUCAACCCUAGAUAUAAAACUGUCAGAUCAGGACCACCCAACUACAGUGUAGAGGUGUUAUUUUUCUCUUGGAUUUUAAUUACACUCUCAGUUCACAUCUUAACAAAGCAAAAAAAGGUUUAUAUAAUGGUCCAUACAUUUCUGUCUGUUAAAACCGGCCCACAUUAUAUCACCGACUGUACCAAGAAAACUGUGUACUCAGACAUAAGAAUAGUAAAAGUAUCCUCUCCUCUGACAUGCUGGCAGCCCUUUACAUGCAUUUUACCUUUAAGCACGGUCCAGACUGAAGAGUAAUGGAGCCUAGGAAAUCAAAAGGAGUGCCAGCCAUGCUAAAAGAAUAAGAAGUGGGAUUCACCACACACCAUUUCACACAUACAGGCCUCAGAGCCGCCAGAGAAAGAAUGUCAGAGGUAUGUGCUGUUCAAGAAAAAACCUAUGCAUUUAUACGGGUUUCACCCUCACUCAAUACAGCGGGGGGAUGGAGUACUGUGCCAGCCAUGAAAUGAAGUAUUUCUGAGACAUGUCGGCUUAAGGGAGCCAAUGCAGCUGCUCGUACCUGUAAGGGUACACCUUCUUGUUGGGUUCAAGUGCAGUUUGGAAACACAAUACAUGACUACAGGACUGAAUAAGCUACUGUGAAGUGGUGACCACAUACAGGGUUCUGAACACGAUAUGAUAUGAUAUGAUAUGAUAUGAUACAAUACGAUACAACGCGAUAUGAUACGAUACAAUAUGCACCACAUUGCUAUAAUGGUCGAGAUUUUAUUGUAAAUAUUGUAAUAUUGUACAUAUUGUAGAACACUCACAUAAUGAUAGCUCACAGUUUUUUCUUACUUAAGCACAAAAAUAACACAAAAGAGUUAAGAGGAAAACUAGCCUAACUCUUCCCAAUGGUGACCAACUAAUGGUAUUUACCAACUCGCAACUCCAAAGGUAACCAAUGAGCAGGUUAUACAUUAAUUUAGAGGCAGAGGAAGAGAGUUUUGAGGUCAUUAGAAAUAUUUCUUUCCUGGUUUUCUCAAAUGUUCCUUCUAGAUAAAGAACCACUGUAUUUGACAGGGAAAAACUAUGCUGUUGGUUUGUUUCAAGACUUUGCAGAAAGUGAAGUUAAGAAAGCCACUAGUGAGGGCAUCAAUACAACAACAAGAUAAAGUUAACAUAUCCAAAAGCACACUCUGAACUUGUUAGUUUGUCUUAAAAAAAAAAACAAUACUCUGACAUGAAACUUUACAAUUUGCUCUGUAAAGUAAACUAUGUUUUUGUCCAGUAUUUCCCCUCCUUUCACUCUCGGCAGAGAGCCCAUACCCAUUUGGUUAAAAUUAAUGUGACAUGUGGAAAAUUAGAGUCUGGAGAAAGUACAAGGGUUUCUUAAAUCUGGACUGUGGGUCAAACAAAGGCCACCUUAUUGCAAACUCAACAGUGAAUACAUGGAUUUGAAUUUAUAACACCAAUUAACCGGAGAGUUUCCUGUAAAACAAAGGAAGUGACAGCAGUGAGCAAGGCUGAGCCAUAUCAGUGAGGCGGAGCCGCUCAGACUUCCUCUCAUGUGUUUUCAUCUAGUCGUGAUGUGUGUUAUAUUGUAGCACUCAAUGUCAUUACACUGCAGACAUAGUAAAGAGAUGUGAAGAGGUCAGUUUUACUAUGCAAAGCUAUAAACCUAUUUUAUGGUGACUUUCAUGAGGCUCUCGCUAGCCUGUCACUCUUUAUCUGCUAGCAGCCGACGAACCGCAGCUCCACCACGACCUCUGAUCUCACUCCUUUUUUGCUUUUUGCAGCCUCUGAAUGUUACGUCCAGUGGGGGGUCUGGGAAGUCCGGCAUGAUUAAAACACAGUAACAACUCUCUAAACUAAUCUUGCUUAAAAUGGCCCAAUUUUUCAGUCUGGAAAAACCUGCUGAACUUGAGUCCUUUUUAGUCAGAGUGGGCUGAUUUUAUGUGACAGUAUUCUAAAAAAAUCCUCAUUUAUGUGGUCGUAUCCCCCUAAAUUUAUAGAUCCUGCUUCAAAUGGUGUUAUUGCUUACGAAGGUGACUAAUGAGCCUGAGGUGAGAAGUGAAACUUAUCAUUAGAGUGAAGAGUAUUAAAAGGGGCAAGCUGAGAGGGUCAAGCUCUGUGUGAAAGGAAACAAGGACGGUGAUUGAAACCGCAGAGUAAAACUUGAGCUAUGGGCUCGUGAUUAAACUGAAAGGACGGAUAUUAUGGCCCCCUGAUCAUUUAACACCUUGAUUGCCUGUCUGCCAUGUCCCUGUCUGACUGACUGCUCCAUCAAAGCUCUUUGUCUGGUAAGAGUACCCCAUUUGGUCCAGGGUCUUUCCCAGGAGGCCACAGAGGACAGGAGAAAAUUGGUGAAGAAAAAUGUCCAAAAGUGUAAUAUUUCUGGGAGGUCUGUCAGGGUUUGUCCAUAACUCAUAGAGUUAGAGUAACAAGACCUGGUCUGGCUGGACCCUUUAAAGCUCCUCCGGGUAUGUACUUUUUUUGUAAUGACUUUUGACAAUGCUAACAAACAUUUGUUAUGUAACUUUUAGCAAAAAACAAUGAUUUAUCUAGUAGUUGGGUGAUUACUUUUCCUACUUAAAGAGGCAUCUGCUCUUUUUUUACUAUGCUGGUGUUCAGCUGUGAUGCUGAGUACAACGUCUGACACUGGGGUUAAUUCAUCAUUCAAACUGAAGAGUGUCCUACAUUCACAGUGUUGGUUCCUCACAAGAUCACUUAAAUCAUAAAAGAGAAAAGAUGAAAAACAAAAUAGAAUGUGCAGUCACAGUUAGAGCGCUGUGAUCUAUAAAUCAGGGAAGAAACCACCUGUCACCCUAAAAAGAUACAAGAAGAUAAACUUCCAGCAAAGACUCAAAAUAAAGCAUUUAUUUAUUUUUUUUUGGUAACACUUUACUUGACGCCUAUCUCUAUAACGCAUUAUAAAUAUAUGUAUAAUGUGUUAUAAUCAUGUUAGAGCACUGUAUAACUAUAGUUAUAAACACUUAUAAAUGAUCAAAAUGCUUUAUAGCAAUAAUUAUAACACAUUAUUAAGCAUUUUAUCAAGACUUACAAGGUCAGGUAUUAUAAUGUGUUGGGCUUAUUGUUAUAGAGCCUUAUGAUCAUUAAUGAGUGUUUAUUAUGAUAGUUAUAAAAGUUUACAAGCAAAUUAUAAGCAAGUCAUGACAAAAUGGUUUAUAAUGUGUUAUGAUUAUUGCUAUAAAGCAUUAUGAUCAUUUAUGAGUAUUUAUAACUAUAGUUAUACAGUGCUAUAAUGUGAUUAUAAUGCAUUAUACAUAUAUUUACAAUGCGUUAUAGAGAUAGGCGUCAAAUUAAGUGUUACCCUUUUUUCAGUGCCAUACAAUAGGCUUGAUCCCAUCAUGUACAAUAAGAUUUUGCUACUACUCCAUCCCUACUAUGAACAUUUUCGUCCUUUAUCAGGUCAGAAUUAAAAUUGAUCAAAUAUUUUGCCAGACCAAUUCCUCUUCGUGAAUAGGUCUGGGUCUAUUCAUACACUUCCUUAAGCAAUGGCCACACACAAAAAUGUCUCUAGGAGCAACUGACAGAUCCACAACCAGUCAGAGCAACAGUGAUUAAAAGUUGAGCUGUUAAACCCUGACGUUUUUCCCAGGCUUUUUUUUUCCACGGGGGUCAGAGGAGAAACGUUUAUUCACCGGCGCUGAAGACCUGAAGAGCAGGGAGAGCUGAAAUAUUUCUAUCAAAUGGGAAUUAAAAGCCCAUUUUGGAUUGAGUCAGGGAGCAAAUUAUGUCCUUGUGGCUUCUAUUCUUCGAGCUUUCAAUAAAAUGCCUCACAAAUUGGUAAAGGGUUAUGGGGUGCCACAUCAAAAUGACAGGACAAUUAUGGAAAGAGCUAUUUCACUGGUAUAAAAAGGAUUGUGAAUGAGGGAGGUGGACCAUCAGAGCGAUGUAGCCAUUCUAUGUUUUAAACUGCAUUCGGUCCAAAAUAAUAGACAACAUAACAGCUUGUUGCACCAUUCAAAAUGAAUUAGGACAGAAUUUAUUGUACACUUUUGGCUUACAUCUUCAUUCUCUUUAACACUGGCUUUCAUGAAGCUCAGACACCCCAUUCUGAUCCUCACCCAGGAGGCCUGGCCCAUCCAGUGACCCCAGUGUACCCCUUCAGACUAAACAAUGAUGCUGGGUCAACUCCUCGUGGCCCGAGACAGAUGGCUGGCUCCUCUCUGUGGUCGCCACCAUGGCCAAGGUCACCUCCCCUGCUCCCUCUGCACCUGCACCCCAACACUCCCAUCAUCAUCAUCUUUAUUCCUUCUACACCUAUAGCACACGCCACUGCACAAAUCCCCUUCCCCCGGCUACCCCCCGCCCAUGUUAACAGAGAAAAUGAAGCAUUUAGAUUCUGCUGGUGUGCGCUGCAGCAUGCUGAGUACUACAUACCACCUGCAAAUAAUACCUGUAGUUCACCAAGGCAGGUAAAAACACUCAGACAGAUACACCAGAGGAGGUUUUUCACCAAUGAAGAUCUCAUUCUUGGUUGGCAAAGGAUAACGACAAAACAGAAAAGCAAUGAAAUGACUCUGAAAUAAUGUUUAAUCACAACAAAUCCCUCCUCUGUAUUAACCCAGAAUCAAUUGGCACCUGUGUCAUGCUGGAAAAUGCUCCACAGCUAUAGAGGGGGAGUAGUAUUGACGAGAGGCUGUGAUCCAUGAGACAGGCUACCUGUCACCAUCACCAUAGUCCCUCCCUCACAUAUUCAAUACAGCAAACCAUCAGAUCAAUGUCCACAGACACAGUCCUCCCCCCUGCAAAACUAAUUAUCUGAGCAUUUUAUACUGCCAAGUCCCCUCCACGCUUUGUUUAUGCAGGCUGCAAUUAGUGAAAGAGUCAAUAAAAACCUGAGGGAGGUUACCGGUGGAGGAGGAACAAUAGCAGAAGGUGAGAGGUGGAGUCUCAGGAAGGCUGUCACCGCAAAGGAAGCUGUGGAGCCAAGGAGGCAGGACGUGACGCGGGGCUGAACGUGUGACAGAGCAGACUGUAUGUCAGGAAAUUUUUCACGACACAUGUUCAGUCACAGCCUGUUCCUGUGAGUUCCUCACAAGUCAAGUCCGAGUGCAGUGCCAAAGAACUGUAUUGUGGCGGCAAUUUCCCAGAAGUGUGAUGCUGCUGGGUCUUUAUAUCACUUCAGCACGCACAAUUAAGUUGCCGUGAAUAUUUAUGGCAGGUUUAAAGACAUCUUUCUCGGUCCCCCAGGUGUCACAAAGUGGCUGUAAUCAGAAUUCAGAGGAGUGUCCCUCUCCCUGUCGAUAGCCUGGCCUGUCUACAGAGAGCUGUAAAAAGCAGAGCCUCAAUCUGCUUCUAAAGGUCUGCUUAACUAGCAGAAAGCUGCGAAGCCAUGAAACAGCGGCAGUUCAUGUUCUUGUCCUGCUGCUACUACCUCCAUAACUGCUCUCUGAACACACCAAAAGUGUCUUCAUAGUCAAGUGUAGUUUCCUUAAUCAGCUGACCAUGUUUUGAAUCUUUGAAACAACAGGCUUUUAGCAUUGCAUACAUGCAGACCUGCAGGGAGGACCGAAGGCUGGUGGUGACAGCACCCAACAGACCAAUCUCACAUUGUUUACCCCAUGACCUUUGAUCUCUGGUUAAGCCAUGUAAAAAAAGCUUAAAUUAUUUUGAGUGUUUAAGUUAAAAUUAAAUUGGUUAGUUAGCUGUUAUUUCGCAUGUAAACUCAGUUUUCUGUAGUGUGGCUGUCUGUCUGUUAAACUUGGCUUUUAGUCCUUAAACCAUUUUCAACACUGCAGAAUGUUUGCCUGGCCGCCCAAGUACAUUUUCUGCUGACCGUGAAUAAACACCAACCGGUGUUACAUUUUCCUUAUAAGAUCACUAUCAGAUAUCAACAGUAAAGGCAAAUGUUGCUGCUCCUGCCUUUGAUUAUCUGCUGUUUCCAGAUUCUUUUCUCUGACUGUGUGUGUGUGUGUGUGUGUGUGUGUGUGUGUGUGUGUGUGUGUGUGUGUGUGUGUGUGUGUGUGUGUGUGUGUGUGUGUGUGUGUGUGUGUGUGUGUGUGUGUGUCAGUAAAAUUGUGUAACACAGCAGGGGGGAUAGAAAAAAUCUUCCAACCAGACUUUUUCUUUCUCUGGGAUAUAAGGAUUGUUUCUGUUCACUGCAGAUCUAACGCCUACCAUCUGUUGAUUGAGCUAUUCUGAGUCAGUCUGAGGCUCGCCCAUGUGGUAAAAAAAAAUAAAAAAUAAAAACUCUGGAGGAAGAUUAACAAGAGGGAUACAAAUCUGCAGAAGUGAUCCUUACGCUGAUCUGAUAAUUCAGAGACAGUUGGUGAGUCACUGAGUAAACUUGUGAAUGGGGACACUGGACGUCUUAAAUGUGGCAAAGCCAAUAGAUUUCUAUGUUAACAGUAGAGCAGUCAGUGUUUUAUUUCUCUCAGGGGAGCUGCCAAGGCUGAGCCACCAGCUUGUAAAACCUAAAGACCUUCACAUCGCAGGCUUUCCUAUGAAGUCUUAUCUUUAAUUAAAUUAAAACCUUGAUUUCCCUCAGCUGAGAGCUGAUUUCCUCCAGGUAUAAUUAUGCCGGUUUAAUGUGUGCACUGGGGUGUUUGGUCACUGGCAGAUGAUCUAUCCAGAGAGCAUUGAUCCCUGACCAGCAGAGCCAGGAGCAUUCAUUACCUUGGUUUACACCAGAUUAGAGCACACAAAACACCUCAAUGCACAACAACCACUUAAAUGCACACCAAACACUGGAAUAUACACCAACUGUGAGAAAUGUGCAUUAUUGGAGUUCCUUCAUAAGUUUUGCAGCUUUUCACAGUUUUAACCAAAUCCUUUCAUUAAAUAUGGAUCGUGGCCGCUGAUGGGUGGUUCCAGCUCAACUAAAAAAGGUGGACAGGCGGGUAAAGCUCAUUAAAUAAUCAAGUUAACUUUUGGCCCAGAAUCUGUGAUUGUGUGGUGGGCUGUGUUGGCCACCUCGUUGUGCUCUAUCAUUGUUUGUCAUCAUGUGCGGAGUCUCUCAAACUUUCAACAUGGGUCAGCAUAAUAAAAAUACAUUGGUGUGUGACAAACUAAAGGUGAGAGUUCAGAGUUUGUUACAGUCCUAAUUAUCAUCGGUGUUGGCAUGUUAGCAUAAAGCAGUAAGGGUGGCAGCCAGACACACACACAAGAUUAUUCAUACAUUUCUGGGAGUGACACAACUCUGACAGAGUUUGGUUUCACAGUUCAAGGACCAAAGAAGCAGCCAGAGUCUCUGUCAUCAGAUUAAGCAUUAGGUUUCAGAGGACAUGAAAUCAUCAAAAAUGAAAUAAUCAGAGCUUGUUUAGCAUUAACACUGACAAUAUUCAGCUUUCCAUAAUGGUGUUAGGUGCUCUGUAAUUACAGCAUAUGUUUUAAAUAAUCAAAAUGUAAAUGAGAAAUUUAAAAAAUUAGGUACCAAUGAAUUUUGAGCAGGUUGAAUACAGUUAAGUGUCCAUGAAAGCAGCACAGAGGCAUAGUUUUAAUGUUUUUAAUUAAUUGUUGCACUUUUUACAGACUGAUUAAAGGGCCUCAAGACUGAGGUUUUAACACUCAUGUAGCCU
Non-coding RNA from Xyrichtys novacula (pearly razorfish), 12068 nucleotides. NCBI's taxonomy places the organism in Eukaryota, Metazoa, Chordata, Actinopteri, Labriformes, Labridae. The record is from the annotation of a GenBank genome assembly.